GUUCAUGAUGAUCAUUCGUGCGAUUGCACGCUGGAAAUUACCGGCUGAGCAUCUGCUUUGACGAUAUCAAAUUGGCUGUUUCUGAUA
RNAcentral lists this small nucleolar RNA (87 nucleotides) under Scedosporium apiospermum. RNAcentral's name for it is "A. fumigatus snoRNA Afu_300". It matches the Rfam family "A. fumigatus snoRNA Afu_300". The record is from Rfam by way of RNAcentral. Lineage: Eukaryota; Fungi; Ascomycota; Sordariomycetes; Microascales; Microascaceae.